This 106-nucleotide ribosomal RNA is filed under the name Jaculus jaculus (lesser Egyptian jerboa). Lineage: Eukaryota; Metazoa; Chordata; Mammalia; Rodentia; Dipodidae. The record is from RNAcentral.
AUCUGUGGUCAUACCACCCUGAACACACCUUAUCUUUUCUGAUUUCAGAAGUUAUGCAGGGUUAAUACUUGGAAAGAGGUGACUCUAAAAUUGUUUGCCAUAAACU